AGUUGAGCGCUGAAGGUUGGUACUUGUACCGACUGGAUGAGCAGCGAACGGGUGAGUAACGCGUGGGGAAUCUGCCUUUGAGCGGGGGACAACAUUUGGAAACGAAUGCUAAUACCGCAUAAAAACUUUAAACACAAGUUUUAAGUUUGAAAGAUGCAAUUGCAUCACUCAAAGAUGAUCCCGCGUUGUAUUAGCUAGUUGGUGAGGUAAAGGCUCACCAAGGCGAUGAUACAUAGCCGACCUGAGAGGGUGAUCGGCCACAUUGGGACUGAGACACGGCCCAAACUCCUACGGGAGGCAGCAGUAGGGAAUCUUCGGCAAUGGACGAAAGUCUGACCGAGCAACGCCGCGUGAGUGAAGAAGGUUUUCGGAUCGUAAAACUCUGUUGGUAGAGAAGAACGUUGGUGAGAGUGGAAAGCUCAUCGUGUGACGGUAACUACCCAGAAAGGGACGGCUAACUACGUGCCAGCAGCCGCGGUAAUACGUACGUCCCGAGCGUUGUCCGGAUUUAUUGGGCGUAAAGCGAGCGCAGGUGGUUUAUUAAGUCUGGUGUAAAAGGCAGUGGCUCAACCCUUGUAUGC
Molecule: ribosomal RNA, 581 nt
Filed under: Lactococcus lactis
Lineage: Bacteria; Bacillati; Bacillota; Bacilli; Lactobacillales; Streptococcaceae
Description: bacterial SSU rRNA
Rfam family: Bacterial small subunit ribosomal RNA
Source: RNAcentral